GCUUACGGCCAUACCACCUUAGGCACGCCCGAUCUCGUCUGAUCUCGGAAGCUAAGCAGGGUCGGGCCUGGUCAGUACUUGGAUGGGUGACCGCCUGGGAAUACCAGGUGCUGUAAGCA
Molecule: ribosomal RNA, 119 nt
Filed under: Gadus morhua (Atlantic cod)
Lineage: Eukaryota; Metazoa; Chordata; Actinopteri; Gadiformes; Gadidae
Source: RNAcentral